UCCUAUUUACCAUCUAAGCAGGAGUUGCCUUGGGGCAGUCUUCCUUAUCUGCGGUUAAUAGCCCCAUCAAUGCCUUACCACAUGAACCAGAGAUAACACUGUCCAGGAGCAGGUGAUUAAGGACACACCUUGAGACUCAUAAUGACCCAUUGUGAGAUGCUCUGCCCAGGGGGGAGGAGCUAGGCAUUCCAACCUGGAUAAACUGGGGAUUUCUAGACAGAAGAGCCAGCCUUUUCACAGGUUCUCCGAGAGGCCGCAGCGACUACAUCUGCCAUCCCAAGAGGACUGCAGCUACUCCAAUUUGGACUGCUGCCAGCACGCUGGCCAGGUUGCGUUCUGACUUUGUCGGUGGUCUUUCCCUUUGUAUUGUUACAUGUAUUUUUUGUCCCUUUCCCCUUUUUCCCAGUAAAUUGUAUUUCUGACUUGGAGUCUCUCACUGGUUUUGCUUUCAAACCAGAACAUAUUUUUGGCCACCCAACGUGGGGCAAGAAAGCACUGAGAGAAGUCAGAAUUACAAUCUUGUAUUGUAGAGGGUAUCUAUUCACUAUGAUGCUCAACAUGCUUUUUUGGGCCUCAUACCUAGCUCUCUAUAUUUUCCCGAAUGUGGGGAAUUAUGUGGCAAUUGUAAUGCUCAUGUGUAGACCAGGGUAUGGUAUGAGAAUUGCCUUAUUGGUCUACUAUGUCUAUCGCAUUAUGACCUCUGAGGCAAUGAACAUGAUUUGGAAUAUGUACUCAAUUCUGUUUGCUUGUCCUAAUCUAGGCUGCUACAUCUGGGGCCUCGGCAACCUCACCCAGCCCCUGGGGGGAGGGGUAAAGAUUGAUUUUUUCCAACCUUUCAGGCUUGACACAGCAGUUUUUGAAAAUGUUAAAUUCCCUCUGGAUGCCAAGGACAGCAUAAUGUUGUUGUUAGUUCUUCUUUGUCUCCUCUGCACAGUCUGCAACAUGCUUAGAAACAAAACACUACAUAGUGUGGUGCAGCGUCUUCUUGAGGAAGAGGAAACAAGAAGCAAAGCAGCAGUGUCCGUGCCUGUACAGAAUACCACAACAGCAGCCAUGUCAACGCAGACUGCCACAGAGAAAGAAGGAACCAAAAGGAAAACCACAGUGUCCGUGUCUACACAGACUGUCAUGGAGGAAGAAACAAAAAGCAAAGCAAAAGUGUCUAUGUCUACACAGACCGGCACAGAGGAGGAAGGCACCGAAAGCGCCAUCAGCAUCUCCACACAAACCAUCACCAAACCAGACCAGCCUGAACCCAUAGGAGUUGCCCCUGUUCAGAAGAAGAAAUCGAGGAGCAAAUCAGUCCGCAUAGUGACUGACGAGGACACUGCAGGACCCUCGCACCCAGUGGAAGAGACAGAACCAGAGAUCAUCACUCGCUCUCUAUCCCUGGGUGAGCUACGUGACCUGCGGAGAGAAUUCACCCGCCAGACAAAUGAGUCCAUCCUCACCUGGCUUCUCCGCAUCUGGGACGCUGCAGCCAACGACACCAUUCUGGAUGGAAGUGAGGCCAGGCAACUGGGAUCACUAUCCCGGGAUGUGGUCAUUGACCAGGGGAUUGGGAGAACCCAAGAAACUCUCAGCCUCUGGCGGCGACUGCUUGCAAGUGUGAAGGACAGAUACCUUUGUAAAG
This 1633-nucleotide long non-coding RNA is filed under the name Chloebia gouldiae (Gouldian finch). RNAcentral describes it as "Erythrura gouldiae (Gouldian finch) lncRNA (ENSEGOG00005017826.1)". Lineage: Eukaryota; Metazoa; Chordata; Aves; Passeriformes; Passeridae. The record is from RNAcentral.